This 1375-nucleotide unclassified non-coding RNA is filed under the name Hevea brasiliensis (rubber tree). Lineage: Eukaryota; Viridiplantae; Streptophyta; Magnoliopsida; Malpighiales; Euphorbiaceae. The record is from RNAcentral.
GCACCUUCUUAUAGGACAUAUUAUUUGGUUUGAAAAUUUUAAAAUCACGAUCACAUCAUGCAUGGAUUGGUUCAAAAACAACUGUGGAAUGAUUAGCAAUGUGCAAGCUGAAUUGUCCUCCCUUUUCACUCACAUCAAUCUUCCUUGUCCCGGAUGGAGCUUUCAUCUCAAAGUUUGAUACCAAUUUCGAUAUCACAAGCCCUAGAAUUGGUAAUGCUAGUAUGAUCCCCGGGCAGCUGCGUCUACCCAUACCAAAUGGCAAGUACCGAAAAUCGACCUUUCCUCCGGCGACAGCUUCCGUGCCACAUUCUUCUUCAAAAAAUCGCUCUGGCCUGAACUCCUCCGGAUUCUUCCACCAUUGAGGGUUAUUAGCUAACCACCAUGCAUUGACCACCACCUUGGAUUCUCUAGGAAUUGUAAAACCCCCUAAUUUUGCUUCUUCAAGGUUCAUAUGUGGUACUAGCAAGGGAAUUGGGGUAUGCAACCUUAAUGUCUCUUUUACUGUGGCCUGCAAGUAAGGUAAUUCAUGUAGGUUUGAUUCUGUGACUGGAUUUCCCUUUAGGACGGCUGAGAUUUCGUCUCUGAUCUUCCUUUGGACGGUUGGAUUGUUCGCCAACUCAGCUAUAGCCCACUCCAUUGACCAUAGUGUGGUCUCUAUUGCUGCCACAUUAAUGUUCUCUACAAUAUAUAACACAUUUUCUUCGCUAAUCUCUCCUUUCAUUUGAGCAUAUAGUAUGUGAUCUAUUGCACAGUUUAUUUGGUGUUUCUCUCCAUUUGCAGCCAUUAUUUUCCUCCUUUUUUCCACAAAAUAGUUGUUGAAGAAAGCUAAUCUCCUUUGCUGCAAAUCCUUGCACUUGUUCAAGUAGCCUCUUAAAAAAGGUCUAAGCAAAGGAAUAAAAUCUCCAUAAUUGUACUCAAAGCUUUGAGCCAACCGACUUCUCUCAGAAUUAAACCUAGUAGCUUCAAUGAACAAAGGGUCAUCUUGAGACUGAAAUCUUGCAUCAAACAUCAUUCCAUACAUAAUAUUAUAUAGCAUCAGCUGCAAACGUUUCCUGAUGACAAUCCCUUCACUUCUCAUCUUCUCAGCAUGUUUAAACAAGUCAGUCACCACAAGCUCCAUUUCUUGCUCCCACAUAUUGCUAUAAUGUUGCACAACUUUGUUAGUGAAGAAUGGUAGGGUCAUAAUUCUACGCAUCUUUCUCCAAUGAUCACCAUAGAUUGUGAACACCAUAUCUUGACCAUUGCCUGUGAAAAUAUCGAACACAACAUUACGUGGUCGAGACCCGAAUUCUACACCUUGUGUGUGUAGAACUUGGGUGGCUAGCUCAGGAUCUGAAACCACUGCUAAAUUUUUUGAACCAAGCUUUAGUAGGAA